AUUUCUAAAAUCCCACCUCAUGAGCAUGUGAUGGUUGUUAUACAGCAUGGAAAGUGUAAGGAAUGGAAAGGUGAAUAUACUGUUCAAAGUGACAAGUUUGCAACACGAAUUUUUCUGAAUCAAGAAAUUGAUGAAGUUGAUGAGCUAAGGAGGAGGAAAUGUCUUGUGUUGUGGUUGCGACAAUUAAGAUUGUGCAAGAAGAGUAUGGUUGGUU
Molecule: long non-coding RNA, 214 nt
Organism: Helianthus annuus (common sunflower)
Lineage: Eukaryota; Viridiplantae; Streptophyta; Magnoliopsida; Asterales; Asteraceae
Exons: 3
Source: RefSeq, a predicted model, not a curated record